This 981-nucleotide long non-coding RNA is filed under the name Rattus norvegicus (Norway rat). RNAcentral's name for it is "long non-coding RNA NONRATT008184". Lineage: Eukaryota; Metazoa; Chordata; Mammalia; Rodentia; Muridae. The record is from RNAcentral.
CAGCUACGACUUCCUGUCCGCUGAAGAGAAGGAGUGUCUGCUCUUCCUGGAGAAGACCAUUGGCUCGCUGGAGGCGGAGGCUGACAGUGGGCUCUCCACAGACGAGUCAGAGCCAGCCACCAGUCCUCAGAGUUUCCGAGCACUACCCACCACCACCCAACGAGCUCCACAGGGAAAGCCAGAGGCCAGAGACACUCAGCAGGUGCCAGUGCCAGUGCCAAAGAGAGCAGCCCAGUCCUCCGGUCCUCCUGAGUCUCCCAGCCCAGGCCUCAGGUCGGGUUCCUACAGCCUUCCCAGAAACCUCCACCUUGGCAGAAGCCAGAACCUCAGGAAAAGUGCCACCCAGACUAACAGCGUCUCUGAAGCACCUGAGGUAUUCUUAGAGGAGCCUAAGAAAGGGCAGACUAGGCAGGGUGCUAAGACCAUCCAGCCACCAGCCCCAUCCCAGGAGGGUACCCCUGACCUGAACACAGUUCUCAUACCCCCGCCAGAAGCUUUCCAGGACAUUACAUCAAAGAAAGCUGAGGGAGAAAGCCCACCUAAAAAGCCAGGAGAGCAGACACACAGGCCUCAGGGCCACAUUCUGGAGAGAAGUCCACACUCCCAGAAGAAAGCGGACAUGUCUUCUGAAACCAUGACCCAUAAAGCCACUGAAAAAGGUUGGACAGAGGGGCCACAGCGACCACAGCAGCCUCCCACCCAGCCAUCUCAGAACACACAAGCUGAAGAACCUUCCCUACCUUCAGGGGUCAAGCCAAACAUCCAACAGUCUCUCCUCACAGCCACAAAGCCCCGUAGGCUGCCACCUAACAUCGUCCUGAAGAGCAGCCGGAGCAGUUUCCACAGCCAUCCCCAGAACUGGCUGUCAAAUCACACCGAAGCCACAGACUCGGGCCCUGUCUCCUCUUUGCAAGAACAAAGGAAAGCGCGCAGAGAGGCUCUGGAAAAGCUAGGGCUGCCCCAGGACCAAGAUGAUCCCAG